CGGUCCACUCUUCGACUUUGGCCUCCGCUGAGGAUGUUGAAGAGACGUUUUCAGUGCACCAUCUCCAGAAACAGGACUAAAUAUCCACCUCUCAGCAUCCUCCCAUUUCGAUGGCAACGUCCUCCCAUUAUUGAAAGGCAAUAACGCAGCAUUUAUUUGGCGCCUAUUACCAUUGUUAUGCAAUGGCACUCGCUCCGAGCUCCAACC
Molecule: unclassified non-coding RNA, 207 nt
Filed under: Hevea brasiliensis (rubber tree)
Lineage: Eukaryota; Viridiplantae; Streptophyta; Magnoliopsida; Malpighiales; Euphorbiaceae
Source: RNAcentral